AUUUAAAUAGCUUAAUCUAGAGUAUAAUAUUGAAGAUAUUAAGGUAAUAUAUAUAAUUUUUAAAUA
Molecule: transfer RNA, 66 nt
Filed under: Tettigotoma maculata
Lineage: Eukaryota; Metazoa; Arthropoda; Insecta; Hemiptera; Cicadidae
Description: tRNA-Phe
Source: RNAcentral